RNAcentral lists this ribosomal RNA (497 nucleotides) under uncultured bacterium. RNAcentral's name for it is "partial 16S ribosomal RNA". It matches the Rfam family "Bacterial small subunit ribosomal RNA", at positions 28 to 507 of the family's 1533-position model. The record is from RNAcentral.
GAUGAACGCUGGCGGCGUGCCUAAUACAUGCAAGUCGAGCGAACAGACGAGGAGCUUGCUCCUCUGACGUUAGCGGCGGACGGGUGAGUAACACGUGGAUAACCUACCUAUAAGACUGGGAUAACUUCGGGAAACCGGAGCUAAUACCGGAUAAUAUCUUGAACCGCAUGGUUCAAUAGUGAAAGACGGUUUUGCUGUCACUUAUAGAUGGAUCCGCGCCGCAUUAGCUAGUUGGUAAGGUAACGGCUUACCAAGGCAACGAUGCGUAGCCGACCUGAGAGGGUGAUCGGCCACACUGGAACUGAGACACGGUCCAGACGCCUACGGGAGGCAGCAGUAGGGAAUCUUCCGCAAUGGGCGAAAGCCUGACGGAGCAACGCCGCGUGAGUGAUGAAGGUCUUCGGAUCGUAAAACUCUGUUAUUAGGGAAGAACAAAUGUGUAAGUAACUAUGCACGUCUUGACGGUACCUAAUCAGAAAGCCACGGCUAACUACGUG